Molecule: transfer RNA, 74 nt
Filed under: Hydroporus palustris
Lineage: Eukaryota; Metazoa; Arthropoda; Insecta; Coleoptera; Dytiscidae
Description: tRNA-Phe
Source: RNAcentral
AUAAUUUAAUUCAAAUAGCUUAUAAUUAGAGUAUAAUAUUGAAGAUAUUAGGGAGAUAAUUUUAUCUUUGAAUA